CCUACGGGAGACAGCAGUGGGGAAUCUUCCUCAAUGGGCGAAAGCCUGACGGAGCAACGCCGCGUGAUCGCAUGAAGGCCUUCGGGUUGUAAAGAUCUGUUGACAGGGACGAAUAAGCGAUGCGAAUCGUUUUAUGUAUGACGGUACCUGUUUAAAAAGCUCCGGCUAUCUGCGUGCUAGCAGCGGCGGUAAUACGUAGGGAGCAAGCAUUGUCCGGAAUUAGUGGGCGUAAAGGGCGCGUAGGUGGGCGCGUAAGUCAGUUGUGAAAACUCCGGGCUCAACCUUGCGACUGCACUUGAAACUGAGUGUCGUGAGGGUAGGAGAGGAAAGUGGAAUUCCUGGUGUAGCGGUGAAAUGCGUAGAUAUUAGGAGGAACACUAGUGGCGAAGGCGACUUUCUGGACUGUACCUGACGCUGAGGCGCGAAAGCGUGGGUAGCGAACGGGAUUAGAUACCCUUGUAGUC
Molecule: ribosomal RNA, 464 nt
Filed under: uncultured bacterium
Lineage: Bacteria
Description: partial 16S ribosomal RNA
Rfam family: Bacterial small subunit ribosomal RNA
Source: RNAcentral